GUGUUAAAUCUAUGAAGGUAUAUGAUACUCCUGUGGAGGUGUGGAAAACUUUGUUAUCUUUUCUGUCGAUUCUAUUCUAAAUUUGGAUAAUCUCUAGCUAAUGUACAUUAAUUGCAACAAGUUCUAGUGUCUAUAAUAAACUCUUUCAUCACUCCCUCUCUAAGUAAAAAUUAGAUUAUGAAUCUUAGGUUUGGUUAAAAGGCCAACCAAUUCUUGUAUAUAGGGACUCUAACCAUGUGUCUGAUCUAUGUGAUUGAUUUUUCUCCACUAAAAAUCAUUUUCUAAUCAAACAUAUGAUUCAUGGUGGUAGUAGAUUCUUCACUAGCUAGCGUAGCUUCUUCUUAUGUGUUGAAUUUUGUCUCCCAAC
Molecule: long non-coding RNA, 367 nt
Organism: Arabidopsis thaliana (thale cress)
Lineage: Eukaryota; Viridiplantae; Streptophyta; Magnoliopsida; Brassicales; Brassicaceae
Product: other RNA
Exons: 1
Source: RefSeq